GACGGGUGCGUAACACGUGAGGAACAUGACUUUCGGCGGGGGAUAGCCGGCCCAACGGCCGGGUAAUACCGCGUACGACCUUUCGGGGACAUCCCCGGUUGGUGAAAGCAGCAAUGCACCGAAAGAGUGCCUCGCGGCCUAUCAGCUAGUUGGUGGGGUAACGGCUCACCAAGGCGACGACGGGUAGCUGGUCUGAGAGGAUGGCCAGCCACAUUGGGACUGAGACACGGCCCAGACUCCUACGGGAGGCAGCAGUGGGGAAUACUGCGCAAUGGGCGAAAGCCUGACGCAGCGACGCCGCGUGUGGGAUGACGGCCUUCGGGUUGUAAACCACUGUCGGGAGGGACGAAUGCGCCGCAAGGCGAGUGACGGUACCUCCAAAGGAAGCACCGGCUAACUCCGUGCCAGCAGCCGCGGUAAUACGGAGGGUGCGAGCGUUGUCCGGAAUCACUGGGCGUAAAGGGCGCGUAGGCGGCCUGAUAAAUACGGGGUGAAAUCC
RNAcentral lists this ribosomal RNA (499 nucleotides) under uncultured bacterium. RNAcentral's name for it is "bacterial SSU rRNA". It matches the Rfam family "Bacterial small subunit ribosomal RNA", at positions 100 to 602 of the family's 1533-position model. The record is from RNAcentral.